Molecule: long non-coding RNA, 491 nt
Organism: Plodia interpunctella (Indianmeal moth)
Lineage: Eukaryota; Metazoa; Arthropoda; Insecta; Lepidoptera; Pyralidae
Exons: 3
Source: RefSeq, a predicted model, not a curated record
UUGAGUUUCCUCUGAAAUUGCAAAGUUUUCAACAUCUUAAAUUGUCAUCAAUCUGAUGAUUUGACAGUUUGAUAACUGUCAACACGGAUAACAAAGUGAUCCUAUAACCUUUUGAGGCACGGAACUCUAAAAAUAACAAAAGUUUACCUCAUUGAUAACAGUCGAGUAAGGUAUGUCGUCGAAGAGAAACUCCCAGCCAUAUCUGCAGGGCACGACUGGAGUGCCAGUGGGUGGUCGAGUGAGAGUGGACAGUACUUGGGUGUAGUUGGUGUCGUACAUCAUGCAGCGGUCCCAUCCUGGUGGCUCAUCUGUGAAUGGGACGGAGAGAUUGCGUCUGCAAACAAUGUUGAACUAUUGAGCACCGGAACCGAGGGUAACUAACUAUAAACUUUCCUCACAAUAUACUAUACAAAAAGUGGAUAUAUUCUCUCACCUCAACUCUACGCUAAGGACCUGGAGCUCGGGAACCUUGCACCAGUGUUGUUGCGGCG